UCUUUGUUUAUGUCCUCUCUGGACAGAGAGAGACCAAGCAGGUAAAACAUCUCCUAAAAGCAUACAUCCAAGAUUACACAAAUUACACUCACAGGAGGGAAAGGAUAUUACCCAUAGGCCUGUGAAAUAGAUGCACACAGAUCAUUCAUGGGAUUCCAGUGAGGAUAUGGUAAUCACAGAAGUAUGAGCAAGAAGAUCAAGAGAAGAAGCUAAAUCGAAGGAGCCAGGAAGAGCCCAUGGGCAUAUUCAAGUCCCUCUGUGGGGAAGCCAACCUCAAGGAUCCCAGCGGAA
Long non-coding RNA from Gopherus flavomarginatus (Mexican gopher tortoise), 291 nucleotides. RefSeq lists it as uncharacterized. The record is from RefSeq and is a predicted model, not a curated record. Lineage: Eukaryota; Metazoa; Chordata; Testudines; Testudinidae. The transcript is spliced from 3 exons.